This 606-nucleotide ribosomal RNA is filed under the name uncultured Lysobacterales bacterium. RNAcentral's name for it is "bacterial SSU rRNA". It matches the Rfam family "Bacterial small subunit ribosomal RNA", at positions 171 to 767 of the family's 1533-position model. The record is from RNAcentral. Lineage: Bacteria; Pseudomonadati; Pseudomonadota; Gammaproteobacteria; Lysobacterales.
GCAUACGACCUUCGGGUGAAAGCAGGGGAAUCUCUCGGGAUCCUUGCGCGAUUGAAUGAGCCGAUGUCGGAUUAGCUAGUUGGUAGGGUAAAAGCCUACCAAGGCCACGAUCCGUAGCUGGUCUGAGAGGAUGAUCAGCCACACUGGGACUGAGACACGGCCCAGACUCCUGCGGGAGGCAGCAGUGGGGAAUAUUGGACAAUGGGGGCAACCCUGAUCCAGCCAUACCGCGUGGGUGAAGAGGGCCUUCUGGGUUGUAAAGCCCUUUUGUUGGGGAAGAAAAACAACGGGUUAAUACCCCGUUGGUAUGACGGUACCCAAAGAAUAAGCACCGGCUAACUUCGUGCCAGCAGCCGCGGUAAUACGAAGGGUGCAAGCGUUACUCGGAAUUACUGGGCGUAAAGGGUGCGUAGGUGGUUGCGCCAGUCUGUCGUGAAAGCCCUGGGCUUAACCUGGGAAUGGCGAUGGAAACUGUGCAACUAGAGUGUGACAGAGGGUGGUGGAAUUCCUGGUGUAGCAGUGAAAUGCGUAGAGAUCAAGAGGAACAUUCGUGGCGAAGGCGGCCACCUGGGUCAACUCUGACACUGAGGCACGAAAGCGUGGGGA